UACGUAGGGUGCAAGCGUUGUCCGGAAUUAUUGGGCGUAAAGAGCUCGUAGGCGGUCUGUCGCGUCGGAUGUGAAAAUCCAGGGCUCAACCCUGGACCUGCAUUCGAUACGGGCAGACUAGAGUUCGGCAGGGGAGGCUGGAAUUCCUGGUGUAGCGGUGAAAUGCGCAGAUAUCAGGAGGAACACCGGUGGCGAAGGCGGGUCUCUGGGCCGAUACUGACGCUGAGGAGCGAAAGCGUGGGGAGCGAACAGG
This 253-nucleotide ribosomal RNA is filed under the name uncultured bacterium. Its description in RNAcentral is "partial 16S ribosomal RNA". It matches the Rfam family "Bacterial small subunit ribosomal RNA", at positions 524 to 776 of the family's 1533-position model. The record is from RNAcentral.